UACGUAGGGUGCAAGCGUUAAUCGGAAUUACUGGGCGUAAAGCGUGUGUAGGCGGUUCGGAAAGAAAGAUGUGAAAUCCCAGGGCUCAACCUUGGAACUGCAUUUUUAACUGCCGAGCUAGAGUAUGUCAGAGGGGGGUAGAAUUCCACGUGUAGCAGUGAAAUGCGUAGAGAUGUGGAGGAAUACCGAUGGCGAAGGCAGCCCCCUGGACUGAUACUGACACUGAGGUGCGAAAGCGUGGGGAGCAAACAGG
This 253-nucleotide ribosomal RNA is filed under the name uncultured bacterium. Its description in RNAcentral is "partial 16S ribosomal RNA". It matches the Rfam family "Bacterial small subunit ribosomal RNA", at positions 524 to 776 of the family's 1533-position model. The record is from RNAcentral.